Molecule: transfer RNA, 74 nt
Filed under: Phycisphaerae bacterium
Lineage: Bacteria; Pseudomonadati; Planctomycetota; Phycisphaerae
Also listed under: 3 other names
Description: tRNA-Ile
Rfam family: tRNA
About the family: Transfer RNA (tRNA) molecules are approximately 80 nucleotides in length.
Source: RNAcentral
GGGCUCGUAGCUCAGUUGGUUAGAGCGCGUCCCUGAUAAGGACGAGGUCAGUAGUUCGAAUCUACUCGGGCCCA